UAAUAAGUGUUUUAUGGCACUUUUUAAAUCCAUAUCCACCUUGUGUGCAAUGUCAGUCGAUCUUCUUCAUGGAGAUCGACCAAACAUCAACCUUUACUUUUUAACUCUUUGUCUGAAAAAUAUUAUGAAUAAACAAUUCAAAAUA
Molecule: unclassified non-coding RNA, 145 nt
Filed under: soil metagenome
Description: partial internal transcribed spacer 1
Source: RNAcentral